Molecule: non-coding RNA, 1818 nt
Organism: Malus domestica (apple)
Lineage: Eukaryota; Viridiplantae; Streptophyta; Magnoliopsida; Rosales; Rosaceae
Source: RefSeq, a predicted model, not a curated record
CUUUUGUUGGCACCAUAAAUUGAUUGUGCUUCGCACUAUCUUCAUCAAGAUAGUGCGAAGUUUUUGAGAUUGGUAGUUGAAUCAUAUUGAUGAAGCUGCUGUGUUCCCCCUUCCUUUUUUUUUUUUUUUUUAAGGGGGGAACUGAAACAUUUGAAAUUUGAAACUCCUUAGUGUUAGAAGUUUGAAGAUUUUCCAUGUAGGGCUUUCUCAUGAUUUGAAUUUGAAUUUUGAAUGUCAAUAGCCAUGUUGAACUAUAUAUAAGAAUGAUAAGUUUCCAUGGGAGCAUAAUAAGGGUGUCACGCCUGAGCGACGUGUUCCUACUCACUUCCAGACUUGAGUGACACGAGGCACCAUCAAACUCUCCGGACAGGAGCUAGCUGAUGUAGAGAAAAUGCUGAGGGUGCCCAAAGAAGAUAGACACUUGGGUAAGCUACGACCCUUGUUUCGAAAGUACGGUUUCCAGCCCUUAGUUUCCGAGUGCCAGAGACGAGCGAUGGAGAAGGUGGGCAAGAAAGUGGAGACUAGCACCAAGAAAAUGAGAGUGCCCAUGUUAGUUCCUUCAGAAGACAUCUUGUUUCACAAGGAAGCUCGCAAGCACCGAGUGAGACCAAUCAUUAAAACUAAGUCUCGAGAAGAAGUCCUCAAGGUUGCUGCCUCAAAGAAAGCUGAAGCUGAGGCCAUUGGAUGUGCUGCUGCCAUAGUUGCCGGGGAAGAUAUGCGAUUGCUGCUUCCUCUUCCUACUAUCAAUCCUAUCUUUCCUCCAGUUAGGGAGCACAUUGGGCAGAAAGGUGAUCCUAGUUCUAGCAGCGAGGGUAAAGAUAAGGAAGAGGUUGAUAAUGUCAUUUGGAAGGAUUUGAAGUUUGCCAUGUGGCCAAAGGACUUUAGGUAUAUCAACAAUUGACUGGCAGGACGUCGAUUCACUUUCAAUGAGCUUGGAGAGCCCUUAGCUAAAGAUGAAUCGAAUUGCGACCGGAUGUUGAAGCUGUCUUCAUAUGUCAUGGUUGAGUCACGACAGACUGCGAGAGGUUGAGCGGUGCAAGAUGAAAUUGAAAGAGAAUAAGCAGUUUGUGAAUGAUGCCAGGAAGACGAGCAAAGCUUUGGCUGAGGCCAUCCAAGUCAAGGAUCAACAUUUUGAGAGUUUGAAGAGGCGGAAUGGUGAGAACUUGAGACUCAAGGUACAGUUGGAGACAAUUAUACUCGAGGUUUCCAAGGUUAAAUGGGAGUUGGAUAGUACAUUGGUUGAGGUUUCUGAGCUGAAGAGUAGUAUCCCGACUGAGAAUGAAGCUGCUGUGAAGGAGUUCUUGGGUUCCCAGGCCUUUCUCCAUGUACUUAGACCUCGCUGUACCCGGGAAGUUCACUUUGAAAAAAGAAAGUGGAUGGCUGUCCUUGAUCGUUAUGAUGAUGGAAGCGUUCUUCGAAAAUACCGUGAAGAAAUAGAUGAGCAUCAUUGAAAAGGUGAGACCUUCGACCUUGCAGUUUAUUCUAGCAGUGCAGAUGAGUCUGGCGAUGAUGCUAGUGUUGAUGAGCAGAGUCAUCAGGGUGAUAAUGAGUUUGAAAAUGCAGAAAAUGGCGGUAUGACUCAUAGUGAUAUGAUCAGGGGUUCAACCUCAGAUGAGGAUGACUAGAAGUGCUUUCACUUUCUGCAUGUACUCUACCUGCACUAGUUUGUUGUUUGUAUGACAUGUGCCAUGUUAUAAGCCUGAGAGUUUUUCUUUUGUUUUGCAUGUUUAUGAGUGUUUGCAUUAUCAAGCAAGUGUUUGUAUUAUGAAGCUUUAAGUGUUUGCAUUAUCAAGCUUUAAGUGUUUGCCCUAUCAUUGA